Molecule: transfer RNA, 90 nt
Filed under: Solirubrobacterales bacterium
Lineage: Bacteria; Bacillati; Actinomycetota; Thermoleophilia; Solirubrobacterales
Description: tRNA-Ser
Rfam family: tRNA
About the family: Transfer RNA (tRNA) molecules are approximately 80 nucleotides in length. Their secondary structure includes four short double-helical elements and three loops (D, anti-codon, and T loops). Further hydrogen bonds mediate the characteristic L-shaped molecular structure. tRNAs have two regions of fundamental functional importance: the anti-codon, which is responsible for specific mRNA codon recognition, and the 3' end, to which the tRNAs corresponding amino acid is attached (by aminoacyl-tRNA synthetases). tRNAs cope with the degeneracy of the genetic code in two manners: having more than one tRNA (with a specific anti-codon) for a particular amino acid; and 'wobble' base-pairing, i.e. permitting non-standard base-pairing at the 3rd anti-codon position.
Source: RNAcentral
GGAGGGGUGGCAGAGCGGUCGAAUGCACCGGUCUUGAAAACCGGAGUCCGUUCACGCGGACCGCGGGUUCGAAUCCCGCCCCCUCCGCCA